RNAcentral lists this ribosomal RNA (253 nucleotides) under uncultured bacterium. RNAcentral describes it as "partial 16S ribosomal RNA". It matches the Rfam family "Bacterial small subunit ribosomal RNA", at positions 524 to 776 of the family's 1533-position model. The record is from RNAcentral.
GACGAACCGUGCAAACGUUGUUCGGAAUCACUGGGCUUAAAGGGCGCGUAGGCGGGCGGGCAAGUCAGGGGUGAAAUCCCACGGCUCAACCGUGGAAGUGCCUUUGAUACUGCUCGUCUGGAGGGAGGUAGGGGCGUGCGGAACUUCCGGUGGAGCGGUGAAAUGCGUAGAUAUCGGAAGGAACACCGGUGGCGAAAGCGGCGCGCUGGACCUCUACUGACGCUGAGGCGCGAAAGCUAGGGGAGCGAACGGG